CUGCGUUGUUCUCUUCCUCUCCACUUCUCUCUUGCUUCGACCGAGAGCCACAAAGGCUCGAUUCAACGCCGCCAGACCGACCACGGCCAGAUAAGGGCUCCGGUAAGGGGCCAAAACCUAAUACAGUCGUCUUUCAUCCUUCCAGACCGAGACUUCUUAAAAUUUACUCAAGACACAUUGUUUGGGACUUAACUAUCCAUCCACUUAUCCUCUCAACCACGAGGACCUCCACCCCGACCAUGAGAGCUUGCAAUACUAAGGUUCCAAGCGACAAAAGGAGUCGACCUAUUACCGGAGACGCGAACUACCCAGACAAAGAGAAACCAACCUAUAUAUUAGCUAACAGUGGCGAUGGCUUGAGAUAUUGGCGUGAUUGGUUGCUGCAUGGAUGGGAACACCUCUUGUGCUUAAACUUUAUAUUUAGGCUGUUGGAUUUUUAUUGGGCUUGCAUUGAGCUCCUGGAAUUCUUUUGUUGUAGAGGGCUUGAACUUUAGGCCUACAUAAAUAAUAGAAGGAAGUCGAGAACUGUUCGCCGGCGUAUGGAGCGGCUGCGGUCGGUGGAAGAAAUAAGUCAGGAACAAUUAAAGAUCAUAAUGCAGCAGAGCAUGUGGACACAGCUCCGCCUCACGUUCCAAAUUUCAAGACCCGCAGAAAACGAAGAUUUAGCCGAGCCGCUCAACUCACUGCCGCUUUCCGGUUGUUCUCUAUAUAUUUAUAAUCUGGUACUGAGAGAGGAUCAGCUUCAAGGCCCUUAAACAAAUCAACGACAACUCUGCUUCUUCCACCGGUUGUCAAUUGCUGUUUUCCCUUUUUCUGUUUCUUUUUCCUUUAUUCUUCUUUUGUUUCUCCCUACUUUUUUGUUUGAAUCACACAUGGCUGAGGUCAAUGGGAAUCAAUCAGAGGUUGAUUGGGAAGGCAAGUAAACCCUGAACCACUGAGCCAACACCAACAUUCAGUUAAAAUAUAUAACAUGUUGUAUAUACUGUAUAUCAUUUCGUAUA
This is a long non-coding RNA of Hibiscus syriacus, 1001 nucleotides long. RefSeq lists it as uncharacterized. The record is from RefSeq and is a predicted model, not a curated record. The transcript is spliced from 4 exons. Lineage: Eukaryota; Viridiplantae; Streptophyta; Magnoliopsida; Malvales; Malvaceae.